GUAACGAGUAAGCAAUUUAUGCUUAGUAAGUUUUGAGCAAGGAAUUCCAGCAUACACAAAGAAUAGCACACAUUUAGCUAAACGGAAUAUUUCAUAAUACGCAAUUUACCGAUAUCAAACUUGCUUCACAACAUUAACAACCCUUAUGUACAUACACAAUAAACUAACUUAGCCGAAGGCCGGUAGCUCGUUUAUCAACUGAGCGAACAUUUAUUUGUAAGGGCUCGAUUAAAUUCAACACAUACGUAACAUAUCCCCAUAUUGGGAUGUUUUUCGAGUAUUCGCUGGAAUUUUACAGCAAGCUCAUUCAUUACCAAAUCACGUACCUUCGGGAUUUAACCGGAUAUAGCUCCUCGUUCAAAUGCCUUCGGGACAUAGCCCGGUUUUAGUAACUCACACAAUGCCUUCGGGACAUAACCCGGAUUUAACAACUCGCACGAAUGCCUUCGGGACUUAACCCGGAUUUAGUAUCUCGCACAAAGGCCUUCGGGGCUUAACCCGGAAUUUGUAUCUCGCACAAAUGCCUUCGGGGCUUAACCCGGAAUUUGUAUCUCGCACAAAUGCCUUCGGAUCUUAGUCCGGAUAUAUUCACUUAGCACAAAGCCUUCGGGACUUAGCCCGGACAGCAUUCAAUUAAUCAUGCACAUCUAACAAUAAUUCAUGGCACAUUCAUAUUUCAUUUUCAUUUGCGAAACUCAACCACAAGGCACAUAUCAUUCUUGCACAUUCGGCUCAAUAGCCUCACAUAGAGCAUGAUUUAAUCACAUCGUAAUUUAAGCUCUCUUACUCAAGAACUUACCUCGGGUGUUGUCGAACGAUUCCGCUAGCUAUUCAACCACUUUUUCCUUCCCUUUAUCGGAUUUAUUUCCCCUUUGCUCUUGAGCUUAAUUAAACAAAUAAAUUGAUUUCAUCAUUUAGGCAUCAAAAAGAUGAACACAAGGCACUUAGCCCAUAUUUAUUCAUUAGACAUUAAAGUCUCAUACAUGCAAAAAUCAUGCAUCAACACAACAUAUUAGCUAAUUUCUUUCCCCUUGGCCGAAUAUGCAUGUCUAUUUUUGGGGUCGAUUUCAACACUUAAUACACACAUAUACACACUAGUAAAGCAUCCUCCCCCUUUUCAUCGAUUUAACACAUGCAUUGCUCAUCAACAUGCAAAGUUACAUUCGGCCUUAGCACACAUCUUGCUAGCCGAUUCUUCUCCAUUUAGCAACCAAUGCACAUAUGUGCUCACACAAAAAUGCUAAAAAGGAGGUUCAAGAAUCAUCAAGCCAUCAUCACAUGCAUCAUUAACAAGCUUCAUAUUUUGCAUGCAAUGGCAUUAACACAACCUCCACCUAGGCCGAAUCUUAACUCAUCCUCAUGCCUCAUCACCACAACAUCAAACAUCAACCAAGAAUGAUGCAUCCAUGGUCAAGUUCCAUUUCCAUCACAUAGCAAGAUUUAGACCAUGGGCUAGGUAGAACUCAAGCUAACAACUAAAACAUGCAUGCAUCUCAUGGAACAUCAUCAAACAUACCUUAGCCUAGCUACAUGCAUGGCCGAAUCUCUUCACCUUUCUUCUUCUUUCCUCCUUAAAAUUUUUGGCCAAGGAUGAACCAAAGGAUGAGAAAUUUUUUUCUUUGUUUUUUCUUUCUAAUUUAGGCUAAAUGAAGGUGAGAAAGGAUGAACACAAAUUUUUCUCCUUUCUUCUCUUUAGCUCACGGCAAUGGGGGGGGCAACCACACAUUUUUUUUCUUUUGUUUCCAUUUCUUUAUUACCCAUACUCCUUAUUUUAUUCUUCCAUUAACAAAACAUGUUUCAUGACAUGUUUUGCCCAUCAUUCCUUGUCAUGGCCGGCCACUACUCAUUAGGGGGGGAAAUUUGACAUGCAAGUCCCCCCCUUUGUCCACAUGCACUAAUAGGUCCUCACACAUUGACCUAUCACAUUUUAAAAUUUUCCCACAUAAGUCCUAUUGACUAAAUUCACAUGCAAUCGACUAAAUCGAAGCUUGAAAUUUUCACACAUUCAUAAUUACAUAUUCUAGACAAUAAAUAUCACAUUCAACAUUUCGGUGACUCGGUUUAGCGGUCCCGAAACCACUUCCCGACUAGGGUCAACUUUGGGCUGUCACAACUCUCCCCCACUUAAGAAAUUUUCGUCCCCGAAAAUCUUACCGGUAAAUAGGUUUGGGUAUCGUUCUUUCAUCGAGCUCUCGGUCUCCCAAGUAGCUUCCUCGAUCCCGUGUUUGAGCCAUAACACCUUUACUAGCGGAACUCUUUUGUUUCGCAACUCCUUCACUUCACGAGCUAGGAUACGCAUCGGUUCUUCUUCAUAGCUCAUGUCGACUUGAAUUUCAACCUCUGAUGGGCUAAUUAUGUGCGAUGGAUCAGAUCGAUAGCGUCGAAGCAUUGAAACAUGAAAGACGUCAUGAAUCUUUUCAAGCUCCGGGGGCAAAAUCAAUCUAUACGCAACCGGACCAACUCGUUCGGAGAUUUCGUACGGCCCAAUGAAUCUCGGGCUCAACUUGCCCUUAUGGCCAAACCUGAGUAUCUUUUUCCAAGGUGAAACCUUAAGGAACACUUUGUCUCCCACCUGAUACUCGAUGUCUUUUCGUUUCAAAUCCGCGUACGACUUCUGACGAUCUGUGGCUACCUUCAGACUUUCACGGAUUACCUUUACUUUCCGUUCAGCAUCUUUAAUCAAAUCAACUCCGAAAAUUUUACUUUCACUGAGCUCGGUCCAAAACAAUGGUGUACGGCAUUUACGACCGUACAAAGCCUCGUAAGGUGCCAUCUUAAUACUUGAUUGAAAACUAUUGUUGUAAGCGAAUUCAAUCAAAGGUAAAUACCGUUCCCAUGAACUACUGAACUCGAGGAUGCAACAUCUCAACAUAUCCUCAAGUAUCUGAAUUAUUCGCUCGGAUUGACCAUCGGUUUGGGGGUGAAAAGCAGUGCUAAAAUGCAGCUUGGUACCCAGAGCUUCUUGCAAUUUCUUCCAAAAUCGUGAGGUGAAUCUCGGAUCUCUAUCCGACACGAUAGAAACAGGUACCCCGUGUAAUCUCACAAUUUGAUAAACGUACAAUUCAGCUAGUUUAUCCAAUGAAAAAUCCGUACGUACGAGGAUGAAAUGAGCCGACUUAGUCAGUCUAUCAACAACAACCCAUAUCGCAUCCUUCUUACUUGCUGACAAGGGCAGUCCGGACACAAAGUCCAUUGUGACUCGAUCCCAUUUCCACUCGGGUAUCAUGAUCGGCUGGAGUAAUCCUGAAGGCACUUGAUGUUCCGCUUUCACUUGUUGACAUAUUAAACAUCUCGAAACAAAGUCGGAGAUGUCCCGUUUCAUACCAUGCCACCAAAAUUGACGUUUCAAAUCGUUGUACAUUUUCGUACUCCCCGGGUGAAUUGACAUUCGGCUACAAUGGGCUUCGUUCAGAAUCAUCGAAAUGAGUUCCGAAUUCCUUGGAACACACAAACGAUUUCUGAACCUCAAACAAUCAUCAUCAUCAAUUUGAAACUCCGAUUCCUCGUUCGGAAAACACUUAGCCCGUUUUGCAACCAAUUCAUCAUCGACUUUCUGAGCUUCACGAAUUUGGUGAGUCAAUAAUGGUUUAGCUUUUAAUUCAGCUACUAACACAUUGUCUGGUAGAACAGACAAAUGCACGUUCAUCGCUCGUAAAGCAAACAAUGACUUCCGGCUUAAGGCGUCCGCAACCACGUUAGCCUUUCCCGGGUGGUAAUCAAUGACAAGCUCCUAAUCUUUCAACAACUCAAGCCAACGUCUUUGUCGCAGAUUCAAGUCUCGUUGAGUCAUCAAAUAUUUGAGACUUUUGUGAUCCGAAAAUACAUGGCACUUCUCACCAAACAGAUAAUGUCGCCAUAUUUUUAAAGCAAACACGAUGGCAGCUAGUUCAAGAUCAUGGGUCGGAUAAUUCCUCUCGUGUGGCUUCAAUUGUCUCGACGCAUAGGCCACGACUCGACCUUCUUGCAUCAAUACGCAACCCAACCCAAGUAGGGAUGCGUCACUAUAAAUGACAAACUCUUUACCUGAUUCGGGUUGCACCAAAAUUGGAGUUUUAGUCAAAUGAGUUUUCAGUUGGUCGAAACUUUUCUGACAUUUCUCCGUCCACUCGAACUUAACAUCCUUUUGAAGUAGCUUCGUCAUUGGCGUGACUAUCAUCGAGAAACCUUUCACAAAUCGUCGGUAAUAACCGGCGAGCCCCAAAAAGCUCCGAUCUCAAAUCUAUUUUUGAGAACACUGAGGCUCCCUUCAGUUGGUCGAACAAAUCAUCGAUGCACGACAACGGAUAUUUGUUCUUUAUCGUCACUUUAUUCAGCUGACGAUAGUCAAUGCACAACCUCAUGGUUCCGUCCUUCUUUUUCACGAACAAUACUGGUGCACCCCAAGGUGAGAAACUUGGUCGAGCGAAACCUCUAUCCGUCAGUUCUUGCAACUGAGCUUUCAACUCCUUUAACUCAGUUGGUGCCAUACGAUACGGAGCUAUCGAAAUCGGCGUAGUCCCAGGUACAAGCUCAAUACCAAACUCUACCUCCCGAACAGGUGGUAAACCCUGUAAUUCUUCCGAAAAAACAUCCGGGUAUUCACAAACCACCGGCACAGAUUCGGGUUUCUUGUCUAAUUCUUUGUCAUCCAGUACAUACGUAAGGUAUGCUUCGCACCCUUUUCUUACAUAUUUCUGGGCCAACAUUGUUGAUAUUACAGCUGGCAUCCCCUCCAAGUCCGUAGACUCAACUCGGAUUACUUCGUUAUUUGCGCACCUCGAAUUUCUAGGGGACAUUACUCACACACUUUGUCGACAAGCACGUAACGACCCAAGGGAGUUGACACCCGAAUUACAAACUCAGUAGACUCAAUAGGUAAAGUCUUACUGGAUGCUAAGGUUUCACAUAUGUAAGAAUGAGUAGAACCGGGGUCAAUCAAAGCAAUUACAUUAGUAUCAAAGAGAGUGAAUGUACCGGUAAUAACAUCAGGCGAAGAAGCAUCCUCGCGGGCACGUAUAGCAUAAGCUCUAGUAGGCGCACGAGCUUCGGAUCUGGUUAUAUCAUCUCUAGAUCCUCUCUGACCACCACUAGCAUUGCCCGUAAUUCCAAAUGGUCUACCUCGAGCAGUGGUAGCACCCGGUUUCCCACUCUGAUUUUCAUUCUGUUCAAACAACCUCGGGCAAUCUUUAAUGAAGUGGUCAACUGAUCCGCACUUGUAACAGGAGCGGUCAGGGAAUCUACAACUCCCCGAAUGCCAUUUACCGCAAUAUCGACAUUUCGUUCUAUCUCGACGUUCAUUCCCAACACUGGCGACCGAAGUGCCUCGUGUAUCCACAAGGGGUCGAUCACGAUCUCGUCUAAAAAGGCCCGAAGUGCCUCUAAACUGGCCCGCAUCAUCUCGAAAUCUCUUCGAUGCUUGUUGAAGAGACCUUCCCGAGGAUCUUUUACGAAACUCUCCAGUUCCCUCAUCAACUCUUUGCUUUUCUUUUCUAAGCUCUUCGGCUUUACAAGCUCGUUCAACAAGUACCACGAACUCUCGUAUUUCAAGAACGCCAACGAACAUUUUUAUAUCUUCAUUCAGCCCAUCCUCGAAGCGUUUACACAUAAUAGCUUCGGACGAAACACAUUCCCGAGUGUAUUUGCUAAGUCUAACAAAUUUUCGCUCGUAAUCAGUAACCGACAUGGAGCCUUGCUUAAGCUCAAGAAAUUCCUUCCGUUUUUGAUCAACAAAUCUCUGACUGAUAUACUUUUUCCGAAACUCAGUUUGGAAAAACUCCCAAGUUACUUGCUCUCGGGGCACAACAGAAGUCAGAGUACUCCACCAAUAGUAGGCAGAAUCACGUAGCAAGGAGAUAGCACACUUUAGGCAUUCAUCGGGUGUACAAGAUAGCUCAUCGAGUACCCGGAUAGUGUUGUCCAGCCAAAAUUCAGCUUGCUCGGCAUCAUCGCUAUCCAUAGCCUUAAAUUCAGUAGUCCCAUGUUUUCAGAUUCUGUCAACUGGGGGCUUAUUUGACCUUAUUUGGUCCGUUACCGGUGGUAUUGUAGGUGCGGGGGUAGUAUUUGUCGGGAAUGGAGGUUGUGGAACAGCCAUAUUAGUUCGAAUGUAUUGGUUGAACCAAUCAUUCAUCACGCUAUAGAAUGCUUGUCUAGCUUCAUCAUUCGGAUUACUAGCAUUAGGUUGAGAGUCUGCCGGCACUGUCCCUUGUGCGGGAGCAGGCGCUACACUCUCAAGAUCAUCAGCUACCUCUCGGUCACGAUCGGGAUCCAUUACUAUAAACACAUUUACAAUUGUCAGAAAUCACCACACUAUCAAGUAAUCACAUAAAAUGGCAUGUAUAGCUAGACCCAACACAUUACGGUAGUCCUAGAAUCGACUAAACCGUAGCUCUGAUACCAAUUUAAUGUAACACCCCGAACCCGAGACCGACACCGGAGUCGGACACGAGAUGUUAACAAACUUUGAAAAAUUUUUCCAGACACUGCCCAGUCUGUGUACUAGUCGCUUCAAAAAUCAUAUCUUGAGUUUCACAACUCGAAAAUCAGUUUUGUGAUUUUUCCCUGAAACUAGACUCAUGUCCCCACCUAUGUAUUUUUGUCUAGAAUUUUUGGUCGGUCCAAUUAGUACAGUUUAUUAGUCAAAGUCUCCCAUGUUACAGGGGUCGACUACACUGACCUUUUCCCAUUACGACUUGGAUAUCUCUCUGCACAGAGCUUCAAUACUGAUGCCGUUUGUUUCUAUGGAAACUAGACUCAGAGAGGAAUACAUACAUAUAUGGUAUGACUCCUAAUUAUCUCUGGUCAAUUUAUAGUGAAUUUCCAAAGUCGGAACAGGGAAUCCAGAAACUGUUCUGGCCCUGUUCCACAAGAACCUGAAUAUCUCUUACUGUACUGUUCAUAUGAUUGUUUCGUUACUUUCAUAUGAAAGUAGAUUCAUCAAGGUUCGAUUACAUAAUUUAUUCACUAUUUAAUUCCACUCCUACGAAUUCUUGUGAUUUUUCCAAUCCACACCACUGCUGCUGUCAGCCUCUGUUUUCAAAGUAAACCUUACCUAUUUUCGGGGUUUCAUGGACCAACUAGGGCCUUGUCAUACAUAUGCCCACAUAUGAUCAUACUUAGCCAUUCCAAUGGCUGAUCAUUUGCUCAACACUUCCAUUCCAACUAUAGUUACAUCAUGAAACCAUCUAUACAUUCGUAAACACGAAUGGUCUAAUGCCAUACUCCACUUCUACAAGCCAUUUUCGCAUGGCUGUACACUUAUACAUUUCAUAAAGUACUCGAAAAACCACAAUGGGUAGUCCUAUACAUGCCAUAUCAAAAUUCAACCAAAAUAGUACCCAAAAGAGCCUUUGAUAGUGUGGGCGACUUCGACUUCAAGAUCCCGAGUCCGAUAGCUGGAGAACCAAAAAUCUAUAAAACAGAGGAGCAAUGUAACGAGUAAGCAAUUUAUGCUUAGUAAGUUUUGAGCAAGGAAUUCCAGCAUACACAAAGAAUAGCACACAUUUAGCUAAACGGAAUAUUUCAUAAUACGCAAUUUACCGAUAUCAAACUUGCUUCACAACAUUAACAACCCUUAUGUACAUACACAAUAAACUAACUUAGCCGAAGGCCGGUAGCUCGUUUAUCAACUGAGCGAACAUUUAUUUGUAAGGGCUCGAUUAAAUUCAACACAUACGUAACAUAUCCCCAUAUUGGGAUGUUUUUCGAGUAUUCGCUGGAAUUUUACAGCAAGCUCAUUCAUUACCAAAUCACGUACCUUCGGGAUUUAACCGGAUAUAGCUCCUCGUUCAAAUGCCUUCGGGACAUAGCCCGGUUUUAGUAACUCACACAAUGCCUUCGGGACAUAACCCGGAUUUAACAACUCGCACGAAUGCCUUCGGGACUUAACCCGGAUUUAGUAUCUCGCACAAAGGCCUUCGGGGCUUAACC
This 7905-nucleotide long non-coding RNA is filed under the name Gossypium barbadense (sea-island cotton). RNAcentral's name for it is "long non-coding RNA (GBAR_LNC000541)". Lineage: Eukaryota; Viridiplantae; Streptophyta; Magnoliopsida; Malvales; Malvaceae. The record is from RNAcentral.